This 1389-nucleotide long non-coding RNA is filed under the name Homo sapiens (human). Its description in RNAcentral is "non-protein coding lnc-TMEM206-1:7". Lineage: Eukaryota; Metazoa; Chordata; Mammalia; Primates; Hominidae. The record is from RNAcentral.
ACUCGGGCCACGCAGCUGGAACCUGGAAAUUAGGAUUGGAAUCCUGAACUCCUAAAUCCAAACUACAGACUGGAAGUUACCAAAAAAUGUCACAGUGGUUCCUUGAUCAGGAGGCGAAGGAGGCGGUCUAGAGGGAAGAGCACUUUGGUCAAAGGAUCAGGUGCAUAAAUGCGGAGGAAUGAGGAUGCCCGGCUUGCUGGAGGAUCAAGGGAAGUCCAGAUGGCCUGCAGGAGCCAAGAAGUCUGGAGCAGCCAAAAAAACACAAAAGAAGUGCAACAAAAGAAGCUCCUGCCUUGACUGAUUGACCAGCCUUACGACGUUCCACCAUUAUGAAUUGUUCCUGUCCUGCCCCAACUGAUCAAUCGACCUUGUGACAUUCUUCUUCUGGACAAUGAAUCUUAUGAUCUCCCCACCAUGGACCCUGUGACCCCCUCCUCUGCUGACAAUAGAUAACCACCUCUAACUGUAACAUUCCACUGCCUACCUCAGUCCUAUAAAGCUGCCCCUCUCCUAUCUACCUUCGCUGACUCUCUUUUCGUACUCAGCCCACUUGCACCCAAGUGAAUAAACAGCCCUGUUGCUCACACAAAGCCUGUUUAGGUGGUCUUCUAUACGGACACAUGUGACAGAUAGCCAAUGGGUAAAACAACCAAGAAGACUGCUUUUGUCACUUAUGACGAGCUUUUACAGUUUCCCAGUUAGAUGGGAGAGAUUAUAAUUUAGUGAGGAUACAUCCUGGGAGAUGAAGAUGACCCUAUGUACAUCUUCCAGUCCAAUUAUAAGGCACAUAUGGCCAGCCAUGUGACCCACAUGCCCAUAAUCAACCCCAAGGAGAAGUACAAGCACCUAGCCAUAAAGACUCAUUUUGCCAUCCCAUCCACGUUUGGCUAGUUACAAGAAGGGUGCAAUUAUAGUGUUGGGGUAGUAACCAUUCCAUGUUACAGGUUUCAGUGUAGUAAUCACUGCUAUUGUCUUUCAAAGCAUAGGGGCACUCUGCCUAAUACCUGAACUUAGACAGCUGUCAUCCAUUCAUCGUGUACAGUAUAACCUUACGUCAGAGUGGAGUUUAAUUUUCUGAUCAAACAAAAAAGAGGCUUCUUUGUUUCACGGUGGGAAGGGAAAGGGCUGGGCCCUGUGUUUCUGUAGUAGAAGGGAAAAAGGGUGGUCCAUUUACCCCAAUCAUAAUAAUUUCCCCAUAUGCUCAUAGUGGCUGGCAGGAUGUGCCAGGGCAGCCUGAGGUGGAGGAGGCAUUAGUUCCGUGCAUACUCAGCAAUUAGUGUUGUUGUGUAGGGAGGCUAAAGUCUGUGCCCAUUUGGCAAAGAGAUUGCUUCUUAGCUGGUUCCAAUACAUGCGCAGAAUUAAGAUGUUAAUCCAAAUCUUUAAGUUAUU